Molecule: ribosomal RNA, 254 nt
Filed under: uncultured bacterium
Lineage: Bacteria
Description: partial 16S ribosomal RNA
Rfam family: Bacterial small subunit ribosomal RNA
Source: RNAcentral
UACGUAGGGGGCAAGCGUUGUCCGGAAUCAUUGGGCGUAAAGAGCGUGUAGGCGGUUUGGUAGGUCCGUUGUGAAAACUCGAGGCUCAACCUCGAGACGCCGAUGGAAACCAUCAGACUAGAGUCCGGAAGAGGAGAGUGGAAUUCCUGGUGUAGCGGUGAAAUGCGCAGAUAUCAGGAAGAACACCCGUGGCUAAGGCGGCUCUCUAGUACGGUACUGACGCUGAGACGCGAAAGCGUGGGGGAGCGAACAGG